Molecule: ribosomal RNA, 491 nt
Filed under: uncultured bacterium
Lineage: Bacteria
Description: partial 16S ribosomal RNA
Rfam family: Bacterial small subunit ribosomal RNA
Source: RNAcentral
AGUGAACGCUGGCGGUAGGCCUAACACAUGCAAGUCGAACGGCAGCACAGUAAGAGCUUGCUCUUACGGGUGGCGAGUGGCGGACGGGUGAGGAAUACAUCGGAAUCUACUUUUUCGUGGGGGAUAACGUAGGGAAACUUACGCUAAUACCGCAUACGACCUACGGGUGAAAGCAGGGGAUCUUCGGACCUUGCGCGAUUGAAUGAGCCGAUGUCGGAUUAGCUAGUUGGCGGGGUAAAGGCCCACCAAGGCGACGAUCCGUAGCUGGUCUGAGAGGAUGAUCAGCCGCACUGGACCUGAGACACGGUCCAGACUCCUACGGGAGGCAGCAGUGGGGAAUAUUGGACAAUGGGCGCAAGCCUGUUCCAGCCAUACCGCGUGGGUGAAGAAGGCCUUCGGGUUGUAAAGCCCUUUUGUUGGGAAAGAAAAGCAGCAGGUUAAUACCCCGCUGUUCUGACGGUACCCAAAGAAUAAGCACCGGCUAACUUCGG